AGGGAUGUAGCUCAGUGGUAGAGCAUUUGCCUAGCAUGCACAAAGCCCCGAGUUCAAUUUCCAGUACUCUUC
RNAcentral lists this transfer RNA (72 nucleotides) under Fukomys damarensis (Damara mole-rat). It matches the Rfam family "tRNA". From Rfam's summary of the family: Transfer RNA (tRNA) molecules are approximately 80 nucleotides in length. The record is from Rfam by way of RNAcentral. Lineage: Eukaryota; Metazoa; Chordata; Mammalia; Rodentia; Bathyergidae.